Molecule: ribosomal RNA, 801 nt
Filed under: uncultured bacterium
Lineage: Bacteria
Description: bacterial SSU rRNA
Rfam family: Bacterial small subunit ribosomal RNA
Source: RNAcentral
AGAGUUUGAUCCUGGCUCAGGAUGAACGCUGGCGGCGUGCUUAACACAUGCAAGUCGAACGAAGCACUUUAUUUGAUUUCUUCGGAAUGAAGAUUUUGUGACUGAGUGGCGGACGGGUGAGUAACGCGUGGGUAACCUGCCUCAUACAGGGGGAUAACAGUUGGAAACGACUGCUAAUACCGCAUAAGCGCACAGGGUCGCAUGACCUGGUGUGAAAAACUCCGGUGGUAUGAGAUGGACCCGCGUCUGAUUAGGUAGUUGGUGGGGUAACGGCCUACCAAGCCAGCGAUCAGUAGCCGACCUGAGAGGGUGACCGGCCACAUUGGGACUGAGACACGGCCCAAACUCCUACGGGAGGCAGCAGUGGGGAAUAUUGCACAAUGGGGGAAACCCUGAUGCAGCGACGCCGCGUGAGCGAGGAAGUAUUUCGGUAUGUAAAGCUCUAUCAGCAGGGAAGAAAAUGACGGUACCUGACUAAGAAGCACCGGCUAAAUACGUGCCAGCAGCCGCGGUAAUACGUAUGGUGCAAGCGUUAUCCGGAUUUACUGGGUGUAAAGGGAGCGUAGACGGCUGUGUAAGUCUGAAGUGAAAGCCCGGGGCUCAACCCCGGGACUGCUUUGGAAACUAUGCAGCUAGAGUGUCGGAGAGGUAAGUGGAAUUCCCAGUGUAGCGGUGAAAUGCGUAGAUAUUGGGAGGAACACCAGUGGCGAAGGCGGCUUACUGGACGGUGACUGACGUUGAGGCUCGAAAGCGUGGGGAGCAAACAGGAAGAGAUACCCUGGUAGUCCACGCCGUAAACGA